UACGUAGGGGGGCAAGCGUUGUCCGGAUUUAUUGGGCGUAAAGAGCGUGUAGGCGGCCGCACAGGUCCGUUGUGAAAACUGGAGGCUUAACCUCCAGACGUCGAUGGAAACCGUGCGGCUAGAGUCCGGAAGAGGAGAAUGGAAUUCCUGGUGUAGCGGUGAAAUGCGUAGAUAUCUGGAGGAAUACCGGUGGCGAAGGCGGCAUCCUGGACCGACAUUGACGCUGAACGGCGAAAGCUAGGGGAGCGAACAGG
RNAcentral lists this ribosomal RNA (254 nucleotides) under uncultured bacterium. Its description in RNAcentral is "partial 16S ribosomal RNA". It matches the Rfam family "Bacterial small subunit ribosomal RNA", at positions 524 to 776 of the family's 1533-position model. The record is from RNAcentral.